This 389-nucleotide ribosomal RNA is filed under the name uncultured bacterium. RNAcentral describes it as "bacterial SSU rRNA". It matches the Rfam family "Bacterial small subunit ribosomal RNA", at positions 28 to 417 of the family's 1533-position model. The record is from RNAcentral.
GACGAACGCUGGCGGCGUGCUUAACACAUGCAAGUCGAGCGGUAAGGCCCUUUCGGGGGUACACGAGCGGCGAACGGGUGAGUAACACGUGGGUGACCUGCCCUCAGCUCUGGGAUAAGCCUGGGAAACCGGGUCUAAUACCGGAUAUGACUCCAUGACGCAUGUUGUGGGGUGGAAAGCCUUGUGCGGCUGAGGAUGGGCCCGCGGCCUAUCAGCUUGUUGGUGGGGUNAUGGCCCUACCAAGGCGACGACGGGUAGCCGGCCUGAGAGGGCGACCGGCCACACUGGGACUGAGACACGGCCCAGACUCCUACGGGAGGCAGCAGUGGGGAAUCUUGCGCAAUGGGCGAAGGCCUGACGCAGCGACGCCGCGUGAGGGAUGACGGCCU